UGCAGCCUGCCGCUCAGCCUCCCUGCCUCCACCCGGUGGGACAGGGCUUGCGCUCUGGGGCCCUUGGCAACCACUUCAGGGAGGGCGCUGCUCCCUCCUCGGGAUGUAUUCCUAAACUGUAAUCACACUGCGAGCGGAGUCAGCCAAAGCAGUGGCUAUGAACAGGGAGGUGAAGAAAGCUGACUCGGAAGGAAGCCGGCUUAGGCUGGUGGGGAGAGCCUGGCCACCUUGGCCUGUGAUCCUCCCUGAGAGGUCAGUGCGAGACAGACCUGAGCUCAGGUCCGUCCUGGGCAGCAGUCAGCACUAUCUGGAUUUCUCACCUUUGGAAACAGAAGCCCGAAGCAGUCCUGAUCAAAGGGCCCUUGAGCUCUCUUCCUGGUCCUUGGGGAGACUGAGCCCUGAGGACAGACAGCUUCAGUAGCUGUGACUCAGCAGAGAAGCAACUCUUCCCUCCCUAUCACUGGUCAUCAGCGGUCGAUGCAACUUGGAGAGGAGCAUUGUGGCUGCAUUUCUGUGGGCUUCCUUGGCUGAGAGGCCAGGGCUGACCCAGGCCUUAGCGGGCCAGGGCUCCGCAUUGGCAGAGACAUCCGAGUGGGGCGAUCCUGUAUCUGGCUGUGGCUGUGGCUGCUGCAGGAAGGUGGAAGUGUGGGCACAGCAAAUGAGGGUCACUUUGCAGAAGGGCCUCAAACUGUGGGGAGAGAUGUAAUUCUCUGUAAAUGCAAUGCACUGGGGGGCGGCGCUAAGGCUUUCGUCUUUUUGGUAGACUCUCCAUUACGUGGUAGCAGGAAGUAGGACAGAUCCCCAAACCAGGCCCAGGGUGCCACAGGAGUCACGGAGCUGCUCUUGGAGCCUGGAUUCACAGUCUCUCUCUCUGUACCCCAAACACAUACCCUCCACGUGCCACCUCCUGUCAUCCUCACCAGCCCCAACGGGGUGUGUGUGUGUGUGUGUGUGUGUGUGUGUGUGUGUGAACAUGGCUGUUUUCAGUUGGGAAACAGAUUUCCAAAAGGUGGAGUGACUUGGCUACACAGCUAGCAGGUGACAGAGACAGGACUAAAUCCUGUCUGGCUGUCUGGUGCCAGUACAGCCCUAUCCUUCGCACUUUUGGCCUGACCCAGGAGUCACCCGCAUUGUCACCAUGAGGCCAGCAAUAACGUUCUCUGUGUGCUGGGCAGGCAAUCGUGGGGAGUCUGUGGGGAGUGAUACGCUGUCUUCUCGCCUUUCUUAGCUCUCAGGUAUGCCUAAGUGUGUUUCCUCACUCAGACGAUCCAUUUUGGUUCCUAGAUCUCUGCAGAAGGAGGUCUGGAUGGAGACAGGAUGAGGGAGUAUUUUCUCCUUCUUGCUAAAAGUAUUUUCUAAGCAUCUGAUGGGCUCAGCUCUGGGUGCCGUGGGCGCUUUCACAUUGAAGAGCAAUUUAAUGAUGUCAUCUAUCGGGUACUUUUCUCUGCUACUUUCUGCAUAUCCUCAACAUAAUUGCAAGUGAUAAAAGCUGAACACACACUGCCAGUCACCUCAGAGCUACAGAGGUGUCAUGACUGCACACUUCGAUGCUUCUGUCCAAUGUCUUUUUUACCUGGAGUUGGUCUCUAGCACCUCAAAACCAAAAUAAAACAAACAGCUUUCCGCAGAGUGAAGAGUGUAUCGGGGAGUGGCUUUCUUCCACCAGUCGUGGUCCGGGUCACUUCCUAAAUCUGACAGACAGAGAACCCAUAGCCCCAGAUACCAGGUCCUGAGUUCUGGCAGAACUGAGCAAGAGUUUUUUUCAGCUCCCACCCUUGAGGGGCUGUAAGAUACAGAGGUGGAACUGGACGGGGCUCAUGCGAAUUCAUUCAUCAUUUUAUAGCCAUUCCGUGGCUCUAAACGAUCCUGAGAAGAAUGGAAAGUAAUUUCUAGGCCCACGGUCUCUAAGCUAUUUUGGGGUUUUAAUGUUCUUUUUGGUCAUUUUUUUCUUCUUUGUUUUGAAAGGCGAGGAACUUUUAACAUAGUGAUAAGCAGCCGGACAGUGGCAAGUUCUCGGUUCAGAGAGCUCCUUUUCUCACUGUACUCAAGAGUUAAUUAAUCCUCACUGUACCUUGACCUGCCUAGGUCACUUGCUUGUUAUGCUGGAGCUAGCUGUCUGAGAGGCCCUUUCCAGGCUGGCUCUCACCAUGCUGUCCGGGGCUGUGUUUCACCUUUGCGUGGGAUCGUCUCUCCUCUCUUCCUGAGAGGUGACCAUUUUCAGAUCUGUGGGUGGAGAGGAAAAUCUUCUCUUCCAAAAAUAAUCCUUCUGCAGUGGGGUUGAAGCUGGACCAAGCUGCUAGUGCUAUUUUUACCCAGCUUGCAGUUCAGGGUGUAAAUAGCAACUCUGGCUGAUUCUCUCCCCCCCGCCCAACCCCAGCCAACAACAGUCAACCUCUUUGAGGCAGAGGCAUGUGGCAUUUUGCACAGAGGAGACAGGAGAGAGUUUGCCCUCUGGCCCAGGUAAUGAUUCCUGGAUCACUGGUUCAGGACACAAAGCAGAGAGGCAUCUCCGAGGUUCUGUUACCUCUAACUCUGCUGUAAACACCCAGCCCCAAGAAAGCAGCUCAGGCUGAGGCUGACGUAAAGAAGCACUUGCUGCCUGACGAGGGAGAGGCAGGUCCAUAAACCCGAGCCUGAGUUCCCUGAGGCUCCGCAGCUCUCAGCUCCCCCGGCUCUCGGCUUCGCCCCUCCGCCCUCUUGCCUUGCCAUGAAUUCCCUCCAAGGUUGCUGCUGCAUCCCGCCAGAGCAGGAGCUGAGGAAAGACGGAGCAGGCGUGUCCUCAGAAUGGAGAAAGUCUCUAAAAAUAGAACCGGCUCCUUCUCCAGCGAAUGGAGGCCCACAGCCUUGUACCGCGGAGGCUGCGGAGGUCAUGGGGAGGCGAUGGCUCCCUCGUGCCCAAGUGAGCAGAAGCUGUGGGAAGCCGACCAAAGCCUUGGCUUGUGUCCGUCACCCCAGAGCAUGAGUGAGAAGUGCCCUUCACGAGCAAGACAGCCCAGCAAAGUCUGAGACACACCCUUCACAGUUAGCCGUUCCCUACUGCUUCUCUCGGAGCGAUCAGGCUCCAGUUGCUUUUUCUGGAGGCCAAAUUUCGUACCCAAAUCUGUCCUUUGGGCUUCUGGCCCGAAAUAAGGAAGGCGUUAUGAGUCAUCAGAAGUAACAGCAACUUCUUGUGGUGCUGUCCAUAUCUUUCCUCGGCCGGUCGAUCCAAGCACUCCUCAGAUAUCUACCGCGGAGCCAGAAAGGACAUUCGGGCACGCGUUUCAGGUUUUUCCAGCAGAUGAUUUUGUAGGAGUUGAGCUGGUAAUGAGUUCACACACUGAAGCAACAAACAACGGUUUUUAUGAAGAAGCCUCUGGAAGCCGCCAUGUAAAUGUUUACCUUACAAAUCAAAACAUCCCAGAAAAGGGAAGCAGGAAAAAGUACCCUGAUGAGCACCCAAAGCAUGCGGCAGGCUGACUGAUGUUUGUUUUGAACAACGCUCACAGCCCCAGCCUUGACACUGGGGAAAUUGGGAACCUGGAUCCAGACUUCCCAUGCCCAGUAUUGUCCUGUGUUUCCCGGAAUCUGCCUUGAAGAGCCAUUUCCCCUUGUGCCGUCAGGAGUGAAACUUCGGUUCUGCUCUCCUGAUGACUAACACACAACCUGUGUGGCUCAGAUCUUCCAGAAAGAAACUGACAGCUGGCGUGGGAAGUGUGUGAGACUUCAGCGCUCUUGAAACGCCUUUGAUGGGCAUGGUGAGCGGACACAGGGGUCAUCGCCGCCCCGGCCCGGCCCCUGGUUGUGUCAUUUGGUUACGAAUUCUGAUUCCUUCCUUUGAAUGCUGCAUGAUUUUAAAGGAAGAUCUCUGUUUCCUUUGGAAGCUUCACAUUGCCGUGCUGUGUGAAUUAUUCUAUGGAGAUCGAUGUUUUAUAAUCAGAUUCUAUCACUUUGAGCGCACGUUGAUUGAAAACUAAACAGAACCCACCGAGCUGACGGACGCACGUGUGCUUGUGUUAGGGAGACUGAGUCUUUCCCAUCUGCUCUUCGCGGAGUCACAUCCAGGCUGCGCUCUCACCACGGAGGAGGAGGGGUUUGACGUGACAGGCUUUCUCUAAGACCCCAGCCUAUUUACCAGCAGAUUCCUGGUGAGUAGAACACACUGCAGAGACACGAGAUCUGGCUUCCAGACCCACGCGGUUACUUUCCGGCGGAGCGCCAGGCUCCUUGGCCGGCAGGUGAGUGGAGGGAAGUCUCCAGGUGUUCCUCCCGGCUGAAACGCAUCCGCUCCAGAGUCCCUCAUCGACGGCCAGGGGAUACAGUGGUGCUGCCGCCACCGAGACAGGAUCUCUGCGGUGAAGUCUGUGCUCUAACGCGAGUGUACCAAUUAGAAGGUUUAACGUUUUCAAGUGAAAUAAAACAAUUUCAAACACUCUGAAACACUGGCGGGAAUUCGCUGUCUCUGUGGAAAUCCAGACACGAUUUGAUCCAGAAUUCAAUUAGCACGGACCCGUUUCUUGGCUCUGCCGUCUCUGGGUUGGAUUCAUUCUUCAGCCA
Long non-coding RNA from Fukomys damarensis (Damara mole-rat), 4533 nucleotides. RefSeq lists it as uncharacterized. NCBI's taxonomy places the organism in Eukaryota, Metazoa, Chordata, Mammalia, Rodentia, Bathyergidae. The transcript is spliced from 3 exons. The record is from RefSeq and is a predicted model, not a curated record.